This is a long non-coding RNA of Rhinichthys klamathensis goyatoka, 219 nucleotides long. RefSeq lists it as uncharacterized. Lineage: Eukaryota; Metazoa; Chordata; Actinopteri; Cypriniformes; Leuciscidae. The record is from RefSeq and is a predicted model, not a curated record. The transcript has 3 exons.
AAUCUGCUGCUGGGCACCUUUGAUUUGGAUACUUUGCUGAAAAGCAACCUGAAUGGUGGGAAGCCAACCAGAGGGGAUGGGGAGCAGCUGGUCGCCCUUGACCAAAUUAAAAAGGCAGCCAUUAUUGAUGCUACAUUGAAGAAGUGGCCGGCAGCCAGCCGAGGGCAGAUAGGCACAUCUAUCAAUUCGAAGCUCACGGAGCUGAGAAGAUCAACAAGA